UACGGGGGGAGCAAGCGUUGUUCGGAUUUACUGGGCGUAAAGGGCGCGUAGGCGGUCGUGACAAGUCACUUGUGAAAUCUCCGGGCUUAACUCGGAAAGGUCAAGUGAUACUGUCGGACUAGAGUACAGAAGGGGCAAUUGGAAUUCUCGGUGUAGCGGUGAAAUGCGUAGAUAUCGGGAGGAACACCAGCGGCGAAGGCGGCAAACUGGAUAGGCACUGACACUCAACAACGAAAGCGUGGGGAGCAAACAGG
This 254-nucleotide ribosomal RNA is filed under the name uncultured bacterium. Its description in RNAcentral is "partial 16S ribosomal RNA". It matches the Rfam family "Bacterial small subunit ribosomal RNA", at positions 524 to 776 of the family's 1533-position model. The record is from RNAcentral.